This 32-nucleotide ribosomal RNA is filed under the name Chaetomium globosum. Its description in RNAcentral is "partial 18S ribosomal RNA". Lineage: Eukaryota; Fungi; Ascomycota; Sordariomycetes; Sordariales; Chaetomiaceae. The record is from RNAcentral. RNAcentral also lists the same sequence under 8 other names.
GUCUCCGUUGGUGAACCAGCGGAGGGAUCAUU